RNAcentral lists this ribosomal RNA (115 nucleotides) under uncultured bacterium. RNAcentral describes it as "partial 16S ribosomal RNA". It matches the Rfam family "Bacterial small subunit ribosomal RNA", at positions 1367 to 1481 of the family's 1533-position model. The record is from RNAcentral.
UACGUUCCCGGGCCUUGUACACACCGCCCGUCACACCACGAAAGUUGGCAACACCCGAAGCCGGUGGCCUAACCGCAAGGAAGGAGCCGUCGAAGGUGGGGUCGGUGAUUGGGGU